AGUGAACGCUGGCGGUAGGCCUAACACAUGCAAGUCGAACGGCAGCACAGUAAGAGCUUGCUCUUACGGGUGGCGAGUGGCGGACGGGUGAGGAAUACAUCGGAAUCUACUUUUUCGUGGGGGAUCACGUAGGGAAACUUACGCUAAUACCGCAUACGACCUACGGGUGAAAGCAGGGGAUCUUCGGACCUUGCGCGAUUGAAUGAGCCGAUGUCGGAUUAGCUAGUUGGCGGGGUAAAGGCCCACCAAGGCGACGAUCCGUAGCUGGUCUGAGAGGAUGAUCAGCCACACUGGAACUGAGACACGGUCCAGACUCCUACGGGAGGCAGCAGUGGGGAAUAUUGGACAAUGGGCGCAAGCCUGAUCCAGCCAUACCGCGUGGGUAAAGAAGGCCUUCGGGUUGUAAAGCCCUUUUGUUGGGAAAGAAAAGCAGCAGGUUAAUACCCCGCUGUUCUGACGGUACCCAAAGAAUAAGCACCGGCUAACUUCGUG
This 492-nucleotide ribosomal RNA is filed under the name uncultured bacterium. Its description in RNAcentral is "partial 16S ribosomal RNA". It matches the Rfam family "Bacterial small subunit ribosomal RNA", at positions 29 to 507 of the family's 1533-position model. The record is from RNAcentral.